CUUAAACGAGACACUUAUUGUUUCAAUCGUGAUGUUUUGGGGAGCAAAGUGAAAUCUACACUUUAAACAAUGAUAGUAAUAGCUUUGCUAGUGCUAGUGCUAGUGCUAGUGCUAGUGCUAGACAUGAGAAAGUUGAAUAUACACUAUCAAGCUGGUGUGUUCGGUUUCCAUUUUUCUCAGAUGAACUAGCAUACAAGAUGAUGUGCGGAGAUGCUCGCCCUCCAUGGACCCAAUCUUCAAUGUACAAUUCCUCACGUGAAUGUAAUGGAAUGUAGAGUUGCUUUGGUUCGGAAACGUCGACGGUCAAAAGCUAGAAAUGUCCGGUGAAGUUUUCCUUCCGUGGGAGG
RNAcentral lists this long non-coding RNA (347 nucleotides) under Hordeum vulgare. RNAcentral describes it as "long non-coding RNA (HVUL_LNC008789)". The record is from RNAcentral. Lineage: Eukaryota; Viridiplantae; Streptophyta; Magnoliopsida; Poales; Poaceae.